GCUUACACAUGCAAGUCGAACGGAAACAGAGAGUAGCUUGCUACUUUGCUGUCGAGUGGCGGACGGGUGAGUAAUGCUUGGGAAUAUGCCAAAACGUGGGGGACAACAGUUGGAAACGACUGCUAAUACCGCAUAAUGUCUUCGGACCAAAGCAGGGGACCUUCGGGCCUUGCGCGUUUUGAUUAGCCCAAGUGGGAUUAGCUAGUUGGUAAGGUAAUGGCUUACCAAGGCGACGAUCCCUAGCUGGUCUUAGAGGAUGACCAGCCACACUGGAACUGAGACACGGUCCAGACUCCUACGGGAGGCAGCAGUGGGGAAUAUUGCACAAUGGGGGAAACCCUGAUGCAGCCAUGCCGCGUGUGUGAAGAAGGCUUUCGGGUUGUAAAGCACUUUCAGUGGGGAGGAAAGGGUUGUAGUUAAUAACUGCAAUCUGUGACGUUACCCACAGAAGAAGCACCGGCUAACUCCGUGCCAGCAGCCGCGGUAAUACGGAGGGUGCGAGCGUUAAUCGGAAUUACUGGGCGUAAAGCGCGCGUAGGUGGUUAAUUAAGUCAGAUGUGAAAGCCCAGGGCUCAACCUUGGAACUGCAUUUGAAACUGGUUAACUAGAGUUUUGUAGAGGGUGGUAGAAUUUCAGGUGUAGCGGUGAAAUGCGUAGAGAUCUGAAGGAAUACCAGUGGCGAAGGCGGCCACCUGGACAAAGACUGACACUGAGGCGCGAAGGCGUGGGGAGCAAACGGGAUUAGAUACCCCGGUAGUCCACGCAGUAAACGAUGUCUAUUAGAAGUUUGUGGCUAUAUGCCGUGGGUUUCAAAGCUAACGCAUUAAAUAGACCGCCUGGGGAGUACGGCCGCAAGGUUAAAACUCAAAUGAAUUGACGGGGGCCCGCACAAGCGGUGGAGCAUGUGGUUUAAUUCGAUGCAACGCGAAGAACCUUACCAUCCCUUGACAUCCAGAGAAUCACCUAGAGAUAGAUGAGUGCCUUCGGGAGCUCUGAGAC
This 999-nucleotide ribosomal RNA is filed under the name Psychromonas sp. Spegb14. RNAcentral describes it as "bacterial SSU rRNA". It matches the Rfam family "Bacterial small subunit ribosomal RNA", at positions 46 to 1035 of the family's 1533-position model. The record is from RNAcentral. Lineage: Bacteria; Pseudomonadati; Pseudomonadota; Gammaproteobacteria; Alteromonadales; Psychromonadaceae.